GACGAACGCUGGCGGCGUGCUUAACACAUGCAAGUCGAACGGACAGGCCCUGCUUUUGUGGGGUGCUCGAGUGGCGAACGGGUGCGUAACACGUGAGUAACCUGCCCUUGACUUUGGGAUAACUUCAGGAAACUGGGGCUAAUACCGGAUAGGAGCUCCUGCUGCUUGGUGGGGGUUGGAAAGUUUCGGCGGUUGGGGAUGGACUCGCGGCUUAUCAGCUUGUUGGUGGGGUAGUGGCUUACCAAGGCAUUGACGGGUAGCCGGCCUGAGAGGGUGACCGGCCACAUUGGGACUGAGAUACGGCCCAGACUCCUACGGGAGGCAGCAGUGGGGAAUAUUGCACAAUGGGCGGAAGCCUGAUGCAGCAACGCCGCGUGCGGGAUGACGGCCUUCGGGUUGUAAACCGCUUUCGCCUGUGACGAAGCGUGAGUGACGGUAAUGGGUAAAGAAGCACCGGCUAACUACGUG
Molecule: ribosomal RNA, 468 nt
Filed under: uncultured bacterium
Lineage: Bacteria
Description: partial 16S ribosomal RNA
Rfam family: Bacterial small subunit ribosomal RNA
Source: RNAcentral